CUAUAUAUAAUUAUAUAUUGUGUGUGUAUUUCAAAUUUUCAAUCACAUUUUUUAGGUAAAAUUACAUAAACUAUCUUGUCCCUGUCGAGUAACACGCUAACCGCUUCUCCAAUUCAUUCCUAACCCACUCCCCGAAGCUCUCCGCUAUCGCCUCCACGGGCGGCGGCGUCAGGUCCACCUGCCUUCUUUACUACUCUAGCCGGAGAUAUGCUGUUGCCACCAUUGUAACCCACUCGAAAAAUACAGUUACCCCCGCAGCAUUAACAACGCCAACAAGUCGUCUCUUUUUAGAGAGAGAGAGAGUGCAAUUCGCUUCGUCCAAUCUAUAGUCUAGAGAGAGAGAGAGGGAGUCACUCAUCCUGAAUUACUCCAAAUCAAGCACGCUUAACAUUGAAGUUUCUUCCACGUGGGCACCAGAAAAGAAGAUGUAUCUUAUUAGUUAUUAGUAUGAGUAGCUCAAUCAAAUCAUUUAAGCUCUCCUUGAAUAUGUCGUCUCAUAUCAACAUAUUCUCAGAAUUCCUCUCAUUCAGGCGUGUUCCGGUUCAUCCUUGCGCCCCUCCGCUUGAAAGUCUUAAUCGGAGCCUCUCCUUGUCCGUGCCUCUUUUGCACUGGCGAUCACUCUGCACUUCUCCCCCGAGCGUCACACACUCAAAAGAAUAUAUUAUACUUUGAAACUACAAAUACUCAGUCCGCACUUCAUCCUCGAGCGUCAUUUUUUUAAGAAAAUAUCUCACUAUAAAAUAUUUAAGAAGGAAUAAUGAGUCAUCUUAUUAAUUUUUUUUAGGUGGAAUGACGUCAUUUUAUUGAAUGAGAUUGAAAUUAAAAGCUUCC
Long non-coding RNA from Salvia miltiorrhiza (redroot sage), 831 nucleotides. RefSeq lists it as uncharacterized. The record is from RefSeq and is a predicted model, not a curated record. NCBI's taxonomy places the organism in Eukaryota, Viridiplantae, Streptophyta, Magnoliopsida, Lamiales, Lamiaceae. The transcript is spliced from 2 exons.